This 1411-nucleotide long non-coding RNA is filed under the name Bemisia tabaci. Its description in RNAcentral is "lncRNA ENSASIAIIG000854". The record is from RNAcentral. Lineage: Eukaryota; Metazoa; Arthropoda; Insecta; Hemiptera; Aleyrodidae.
AUAAAAUUGUACAUGUUGUGAAUUGUUUAUAAGAAUUACUUUAAUAAAGAUGUAAAUGAUUUUUUCAGUUAAUACGCUGUUGUUUUAAAUUCAACACAUGAGGUGUUCGAGCUGAGUUGAAUGCUUUAGCUGCCCUCUCAGUGUUCAAGUUCAGAUUUGCAACGUCUCGCGUAAUCCUAUUACUUGAGUUCACAUUGUUCCUACUAUGCGGUAGCACAGUUUAUUCGUCAUGGAUCCCUUGCUGUUCGGUUGACAAGUGUGUGCGCACCCGAUGAUUUAUAUUGCGCAGAGAACAGGGCGUUUUCUAAAAAAGGCUGGGCAAAUAUCAGUACUUAUACAGAACACUCCCAGAAAAUUCAGUACUUUUACAGUACCAGCAAUUAACAGAGUUCGAAAAAUUUGAAAAAAUUGAAUUUUUCGCUAAAAUUGCGACAAAAAUGACAAGAGAUGUAAAAGAUUCCGGACCUUUUGGCGAAAUAUCCGCACUUUUUCAUUACUUCCGGACCGUCCUUUAAAAGUCGGUACUAUUUCCGAACUUUCCGGAAAUUCCGAACUUGAAGACACCCUGAUGAAAGCCUCCCGUUUCAACACAUACACAACCAUGAAACAACUACGUGAUCAGUCAUUAGAUAUGUAUUGUAAAGAGUGUAAAAAUUUGACAGUAGGAGCAUCGAAAAAACGUAGGAGAAAUCCGGCCGAUUUGAUGAAGCGAGAGGGAGUCUUCAGCCGAUCUGAGAAAAGCGUUCCGGUUAGAGGACGUUCAAAUUGGGCAGACCCACGUCCACGCAUGUUCGAAUCGGGCAGGGAAGGACGGUCGGGAUCUGGCAAACGAAGCCGAGGACUGAACUUUGCUUCCCUCCGACUUUUCCACCACUUUAAAUACCCCUCGGUCGAACUUUCUUUGCGUCAAUGGAUUCGACGAAAAUUGCAAAGACAAACACGGACGCGCGCUGCAAAUUGCUCCGCCAACACAAUUACCCUGCCUUGACGCCGAUUUUGGCCCAAUUAAGGGCCGUUCGGGGCGCAAGGGGAAAACAUUUGACGAAAGCACAGACUCGAAAACAACGAGUCACCAACGGAACAUGCACUGCAACCAUCGCGUUUACUUCCGUCAACUCGCAACAUUCGAAAGCAAGAAAACACUGGCAAGAUCAAAGCGACGUAAGAACGUGUCUGGGGACUGCAGCAUAGGAAAUUACGACGUCUUUUCCUGAAUAAAACCACCGGACAAGGUAUGAAUUCGAGCAUUCUGUAGUCAUCGUUUGAGGGACAAAAGGAUUGCACACUGGAAAAAAAAACAAAAAAAACACAUUGGAUCUAGAGUCCAGACUCUUGAAAACAUUGACAAGAAAAACUACUCUAGGUUCAAUCGGAUUUUUGCUUGAAUCAAAACGAAAUCCGCUUAAAUUAA